CCUACGGGAGGCUGCAGUGGGGGAUAUUGCACAAUGGGGGAAACGCUGAUGCAGCAACGUCGCGUGUGGGAAGAAGGCCCUAGGAUUGUUAAACCUCGUUUGUGGUGAAGCAAAUGACAGUAACCAAGGAGCAAGCUCCGGCUUACUACGUGACAGGAGCCGCGGUAAUACGUAGGGAGCAAGCGUUGUCCGGAUUUACUGGGUGUUAAGGGUGCGUAGGCGGUCUUGCAAGUCAGGCGGGAAAACCACAGGUUCAACCUGUGGACUGCGGUUGAAACUGUGGGGCUUGAGUGAAGGAGAGGUAGGCGGAAUGCGCGGUGUAGCGGUGAAAUGCAUAGAGAUCAGGAAGAACACCGAUGGCGAAGGCAGCCUACUGGGGUGUAACUGACGCUGAUGCACGAAAGCGUGGGUAGCGAACAGGAUUAGAUACCCUAGUAGUC
RNAcentral lists this ribosomal RNA (440 nucleotides) under uncultured bacterium. RNAcentral's name for it is "partial 16S ribosomal RNA". It matches the Rfam family "Bacterial small subunit ribosomal RNA", at positions 338 to 795 of the family's 1533-position model. The record is from RNAcentral.